GCCCAGCAACAGUAGGAGCAUGGACUAUUGUGACAUGUUGUCUAAACUUUAGAGAGGGAAGGAAGACCGGACCCAAAAAGUUUCUCAGAUCUGUCAGCGCAUAUUCAGGGUGUUUGCAUACCUGACAGCCGUAAUAUUGCACAGGACUCCUGCACCCUGCAAACGAUCUCAGUACCCUGGUUGAGAAUCACUAUAUUAGAGUGUUUAAGAUCUUUUCCCAUGGAAGGACGAGCAGGAAAGAUGGAUGCACAGAGGGCAACUGUGAAUUUCCAUUUAUGCAACUAACUUCAAAUUCAUCAGACAUGGAAGAACAGAAUGCACGUGGCUCUGCGGAGAACCCAGAGGCUCUGUAAACUCACAGACAUUAUCUGAAAGACAGCUCUAUGAAUCUCAGACUCCUCCAGUGGAGCCCUGUUGUCAAUGCCUCUCCAUUUCUACUUCUCCUGUUGAAGGGCUUCUAAAGACAUGGGUCAGGAGCCCCCUGGAAGGUUGAUAAUGACCCCUAAAAACUUUUCAAUGAAGGUGUGGACCCCGUUGGAAAUUUUGAAUGGAGGUGUGGACCCCUUUGAAUUGUAAGUGUGUAUUUACAUACUUUUGAUUGAUCCUAGUCAUCUUUCAUGGACCCCUUAGACCUACUCUGCAGAUAUCCAGGAGUCUGUGGACCCCAGGUUGAAAACCACUGAUCUAAGGUCUCAAGGGACCUGUUUUGUAUUAUUUGGAAGCCUGCAAGUCCUUUGGCUUCUGCUAUCACACAUCCAUGAAGAGGUGUUUGAUGAGCAUCCAGCAUGGAGAACUUUACCAGGCUUGUGACACGUGGUGACAGCAUGUGGGCUCAGCAUGAUAGUGCGUGAAAGUUAUUAAAAGGUGGCUUUUUGCAAGGAUCCCAGACUUUCUACUCCUAAACUGCAAGUCAAGAGCAGACCUGUCAGUCUGUUAUGGGUAAAGUCAGAUGGCAUGUUUGAGUUACAAACAGCUCAAGAAACACCAGAUUGUGAACUUGUAUGGGCAGGAGGUUAGCUCAUGACUAACUGGAAAAAGUUGGAGUGGGUGUCCACCCUAUGCUACAAUGACCAGAGGCAGGAGGAAACACCUAGUAACAUUCAAACUUGCUGUAUCUAGUAAUAAGAGCACAAGGCAUAAAAUGUAACUGGGAAAUAAAUUUGUGAAAUAGUUAUGUCCA
Long non-coding RNA from Alligator mississippiensis (American alligator), 1180 nucleotides. RefSeq lists it as uncharacterized. The record is from RefSeq and is a predicted model, not a curated record. NCBI's taxonomy places the organism in Eukaryota, Metazoa, Chordata, Crocodylia, Alligatoridae. The transcript has 4 exons.